AACUCUUAAGAGCCGCCGCUUGCCUCUUAUUCUCAUCCACUUGGGAGAACACCUUCAUGGCAAUCAUGUUAUCAUCAAAGUACUGUGCAUAAGGGUGGCCCUUAGGUACUAGCCUCCGGUAUUUCUGGAACUGCUUCUCCGCCUCCUCCUUCUUCCUCAUCAAAGUAUAAAUAAUCCCCUGACACAAGUACGGCCGGAAGUCCCUCGGCUCCUCCUUCA
This 219-nucleotide unclassified non-coding RNA is filed under the name Hevea brasiliensis (rubber tree). Lineage: Eukaryota; Viridiplantae; Streptophyta; Magnoliopsida; Malpighiales; Euphorbiaceae. The record is from RNAcentral.